UUCCAAAUAUAAUAAUAAUAAUAUGAAUGGAUUUAGCAGAGCCAAUCCUUUGUGUUGUUUUAACAAUUAUAAAAAGCAAUAUGGUCAUGAACACCAUUAAGAGCUAAUAAAACUAGUAUAGUAGCUAAUGAAAGUAGAGUUGGGUUUGUGCGGAAAAUACUAGACUUUUUUCAAGUUUGUCUAAUUAGCAGAAUAAAAUUCCAGUUUACGUGAUAAGUGCGCUUAUGAACGUUAAUGUGUAGUCAUUAUUAUUAGGGAUUAUUAUUAUUCGAAUAAUCAGUUAUGAUCAAAUCAAAAAAUUAUACAUUUGGUCAGAUAUUUGAUUUGAUCCAUAUCAAUAAUAUAAAAAUUAAAAAUUAUAUAAUAAUCCAAAUAUAGUAUAAAAUAAUAAUAUUUAAUCACAAAAAAUAUUGACUUUUUAAACUCUAAAAUGUAAAAUAAAAUAAUUUUAAAAAUAAAAAUGCUGUAAAACUCACAUAAAUAUAAUAAUUAUAUAAUGUAUAUAUGUAAUUCUUUAAAUAUGUGUAUAUAUAUAUAUAUAUGCAUAUAACGGAUAUGCCUAAAUAUCUACUUUAAAAAUAUUAAUAUAUGUGAAUUGUUUCGUUUACUGUGGAUAUUAGUAUAUGAUUUACUUCGUAAAAUUACAUAUAUCUAAUCUUUCUAUUUGAAAAGAAAUAAAUAACAAAUUAAAUUAAAUUUUACAGAUUUUACCGAGAGCCUUAGUAAUAACCUUUGUUCAAAAAAUCGGCCGCGGAGACGAUUACUCGGCCGGUUAAACGUGACGCGGGUGGACUGCGUGGCGAACUGAGUCACUUCGGUUGCAUUACGCGGUGGGCCGUGGAAUGGACGUGGACGGCAUAGAAUUAGAAAACGCGUCCGCGUAAUGAACAGAGAUUGGCUUUAGUGGUUGCUUUGUAGAAAUGGGUUUUCGAAAGAUUGAACCCUCGUUACAGAUACAUGGUGGUUGUGUUGGUGUAGCCUGAACAAAUCAAAAGACACGCCAAGAUCAAAGCACGCCAACUGUUCGAUGAAAUUCCUAAGAGAAGGUUCACAUGAUUGUAAACUGUAAAGAUUAUAAUUCUUUGUUGAUCAUGAUAUGCGGAGACGUGAGUGGUGUGUUACCACAAAAUCAAGGGAAGGUGUUUGGUUCCAAAGACAUUGUUAUUAUGCUCAUGAAGCUGUUCUUUGAGAACGGUGAAGUCAAUUUAGAACUAAACCUGAGGAAAUAUAUGAUGGAGAAAGGGUAUUGCCCUCAUGCCCACACAUUGGAACUCUUUACCAAUGCAUAGUUUGAAGAAACACAAUGAUGUUCUUAAGUGCUCAACGCAGACAAUGGAGAGAGGAAGGUGCGUGAGCAACGAGACUAUUGUUCAAGUUGUAUACAAAAUAUUUGACAAAAUAUGGACAAUAUAGUAGUUUGCUCCUACAAAAUCAAAUAUGUGAGUUUUAGUAUCAA
Molecule: long non-coding RNA, 1456 nt
Organism: Brassica rapa (field mustard)
Lineage: Eukaryota; Viridiplantae; Streptophyta; Magnoliopsida; Brassicales; Brassicaceae
Source: RefSeq, a predicted model, not a curated record